CAGACACGCACGCCAUUCUAGGCAGCAGUCGCCUGGCAACAUGGCUCAGCCUCUGAACAUAUUUCCCAGUUCGGGGUGCCUGGGCUCAGCCUUAAAGAUACGGUAAGGAUGUCGGACAUCUGGAGAAAGCUUGGAGGAGAUGAACUGCUCCUCUGUGUCAGAAAGAGCCAGUUGAGGUGGUUUGGGCAUCUGGUUUGGAUUUCUCUGGGCACCUCCCACUAGAGGCUUUCUCAGCAUCCCCUAAUGGGAGGACACCCGAUGGUAGACCCAGAACUUGGCGGACGGAUUACAUACCUCAUAUGGCUGGGAAUGCUCUGAGAUCCCCCAGGACGAACUAGGAAGUGUUACGGAGUAAAAGGACAUCUUUCUACUUAGCCUGCUGCCACUGCAACCCGACUUCAGAGGCUGAACAGAUGUUUAGUCCAACAGAGAUCUGAGCUACAUCUUUUCCUCGACACAGAGGAGAGGAGGAGGAGAAAAAAGUUGGAAGAAAGCAGAGAAUCCCCAUCAGACUCCAUGUAAGCUGUUCUAAAUACUCUGUAAACAGAAACUACUCACACCCACUACUGGCCAUCUAAAACACAGCAUGCCAUUAUAGGUAACUUUUUUCCUUCUGAGAGGAUAUAUAUAAAAUAUCUUUGCCAGUGUGCAGUCAUGAGAUAUGUUUCUGAAGUAGCUUUUGUGAAAUCCUUCAUUAUAAUCAACCAGCACAAUCUCUCCCCACCGUUUCUGGUUUAUAGCGUGCGUCAUGUUG
Long non-coding RNA from Oreochromis niloticus (Nile tilapia), 754 nucleotides. RefSeq lists it as uncharacterized. The transcript is spliced from 3 exons. The record is from RefSeq and is a predicted model, not a curated record. Lineage: Eukaryota; Metazoa; Chordata; Actinopteri; Cichliformes; Cichlidae.